Tripterygium wilfordii is the source of this 1162-nucleotide RNA transcript. It is a transcript of the gene named COMM domain-containing protein 9-like, with no coding region annotated. The transcript is spliced from 6 exons. Lineage: Eukaryota; Viridiplantae; Streptophyta; Magnoliopsida; Celastrales; Celastraceae. The record is from RefSeq and is a predicted model, not a curated record.
CCAGUCUCCAGUACAGGCGCCGACCUCUCCGCCACCAGCACAAGUGAACAAGGGAAGAUCACGUCUCUGAAGGUGGCGGUAUCACCGUCUACAGGUCGAGUCACGAGAUCUACAGAGCAAAUACUCGACGUCAGAACGGAUUGUUUCAUUGUGAAACGUAUAGGCGAGAGAGAAAACAAGGUUACGGAAUGAAAAUGGAGCAUACGCUUUGGGGACAUCUACCAUUACUGGUGAGAUCGAACUCCAAGGACUCGGUCGAGUAUAUACUCCAGGCGCUAUGGAGAACGCGAAAGACAGGUCUCGACGCCGCCGACCGCCACAUCAUCAGCGACAUGCUUCAACUCCAGAACGACUCCGACCUCGACCCGCUUUUGGUGUGCCUGCGUAUGUUGAUUCGCAGAUGUGUUUAUGAUAAUAUUAGCAAGGAUGAGAUUCGGAAGUUGUUUCCGGCCGAGGUUCUACCUGAAUUGCAAAGACUAUUGACACUUUUGCUUCAAAAGUUUCAGAGAGAAUGGCGUGAGGAUGUAAUGAAGGAUAAGAAUUGUAAUCAGGCUACAUUGCCCCGAUUGAAGGCAAUGACAUGGAACAUGGCUAAUCAGGAAGCAGCAGAAGCUAUUGACCCUGUUGCUGUCAUCAAUUUGAAGCUUCAAGAUGAUGUUCAGUCUCAAGUGGGAGAACUGGAUGUGAAGUUCCAGUUGGGGAAGGAUACUAUGGAUGCAAUGCUGAGUUCCAUGUAUUGCAUAAGAGACCAGUUGUCAAACACAACUGAGUGAGAUGGAUGUUUACUAAAGUUGUGUCUUUGAGCUACUGAGGAAGAUAUUGUCUACUUGAACUUUUAAAGCGAUUUGCAAUCAGUUGAUACCCGCCCUACGUGCGGCAUGCAUGAAUUUGGAAAAUAUGUAAACAAUCAUUUUCAUUAGGAAGACUUCUCUCGACUUGAACCUCCAAUCGAAUUUGGAGAAUAUGCAAACAUCUAGUUUGGACCAAAGUCUGAAGUUUUGGCUAUCCAUAUAUUCUUAUGCGAGUGUGAUUACUAUUCAAUCCACAAUAUUCCGUAGUUUCGAGUUCAAAAAAGAAGAAGAAGAAAUGUCUUAUUGACACCUGCCGCUUUCAAGUGCAAUACAUACAUGGAGGAGCUUGCACAAUUGCGAGAUAUUGAUUU